UGGUGGAGUGAUUUGUCUGGUUAAUUCCGUUAACGAACGAGACCCCUGCCUGCUAAAUAGUCAGCAUAGUGAUCUUCACCGUGUCUGGCUUCUUAGAGGGACGUGCAUUCGACUAGUUGCAGGAAGAGUAGGGGCAAUAACA
RNAcentral lists this ribosomal RNA (142 nucleotides) under uncultured eukaryote. RNAcentral describes it as "partial 18S ribosomal RNA". It matches the Rfam family "Eukaryotic small subunit ribosomal RNA", at positions 1299 to 1458 of the family's 1831-position model. The record is from RNAcentral.